The sequence is a ribosomal RNA, 415 nucleotides long. It matches the Rfam family "Bacterial small subunit ribosomal RNA", at positions 341 to 770 of the family's 1533-position model.
ACGGGAGGCAGCAGUGGGGAAUAUUGGGCAAUGGGCGAAAGUCUGACCCAGCGACGCCGCGUGAGGGAAGAAGGUCUUCGGAUUGUAAACCUCUUUCAGCAGGGAAGAAGAAAGUGACGGUACCUGCAGAAGAAGUCACGGCUAACUACGUGCCAGCAGCCGCGGUAAUACGUAGGUGGCGAGCGUUAUCCGGAAUUACUGGGUGUAAAGGGUGUGUAGGCGGGGAAGCAAGUCAGAUGUGAAAAUUAUGGGCUCAACUCAUAACCUGCAUUUGAAACUGUUUUUCUUGAGAGUGGGAGAGGUAAACGGAAUUCCUGGUGUAGUAGUGAAAUGCGUAGAUAUCAGGAGGAACACCGGUGGCGAAGGCGGUUUACUGGACCACAACUGACGCUGAGACACGAAAGCGUGGGGAGCA